UUUCAAACUUAGUAAACUUUAGAAAUAGCAUCUCUCUGUAUUUCUAUGAGAUGCUUAGGCCAUUUUGUUGCACUUGGUGUCUAUAUGUAAGGCAAUGAUGCUAUGUCUUCUCUUACCACGUAGUUCCUUUUUCUUGUGCAUGUCGAUGUGGAUUCUGAACAUCUGUUGUAUUGCACUUUUCUGUUUCUCAUUUAAGGUGUUCAGUAGACAUUUACAUCAAGAACAGGAAUCUGGUGACCACAUAAGCAAGUGAUGAGAUAGAAUGUUCAAUGGUCAACUGUGCCAGCUUUCAUGAGAGAUCGGCAGCAGUUGCUGCUUUUGGUUCCUUGUAGCUCUCCAUUCCAGGCCUCUGCUCACAGCUGCCUCAGAAAAACCCUCUGCUCCCCUCUUUCUCCAGCUCAGAAGUUGAGAUAUUUGGAGCCGUGUGCCCUCGGUGAAGGAUUGCUUCAGCUCAAACCAAGGGCAGGGGCUGGGAACAGAAAGUACUUCAUCCCCGAAAGCAGUUGAUCAAAAAUGAAUGUACUGUCAAAAAAAGCUGACAAGAAUAAGGCAUGAUUGUGAAGUGAAGGAUAUUCUUCUCUGGUAAGAGACAUCGGCC
Molecule: long non-coding RNA, 598 nt
Filed under: Gallus gallus (chicken)
Lineage: Eukaryota; Metazoa; Chordata; Aves; Galliformes; Phasianidae
Source: RNAcentral